UGGGGAAUUUUGGACAAUGGGCGAAAGCCUGAUCCAGCAAUGCCGCGUGUGUGAAGAAGGCCUUCGGGUUGUAAAGCACCUUUGUCCGGAAAGAAAUCCUCUGGGUUAAUACCUCGGGGGGAGUGACGGUACCGGAAGAAUAAGCACCGGCUAACUACGUGCCAGCAGCCGCGGUAAUACGUAGGGUGCAAGCGUUAAUCGGAAUUACUGGGCGUAAAGCGUGCGCAGGCGGUUUUGUAAGACGGAUGUGAAAUCCCCGGGCUUAACCUGGGAACUGCAUUCGUGACUGCAAGGCUAGAGUAUGGCAAGAGGGGGGUAGAAUUCCACGUGUAGCAGUGAAAUGCGUAGAGAUGUGGAGGAAUACCGAUGGCGAAGGCAGCCCCUCGGCAAGUCACUGACGCUCAUGCACGAAAAGCGU
Molecule: ribosomal RNA, 418 nt
Filed under: uncultured bacterium
Lineage: Bacteria
Description: partial 16S ribosomal RNA
Rfam family: Bacterial small subunit ribosomal RNA
Source: RNAcentral